UACGAAGGGGGCUAGCGUUGUUCGGAAUCACUGGGCGUAAAGCGCACGUAGGCGGAUCUUUAAGUCAGGGGUGAAAUCCCGAGGCUCAACCUCGGAACUGCCUUUGAUACUGGGGAUCUCGAGUCCGGGAGAGGUGAGUGGAACUGCGAGUGUAGAGGUGAAAUUCGUAGAUAUUCGCAAGAACACCAGUGGCGAAGGCGGCUCACUGGCCUGGAACUGACGCUGAGGUGCGAAAGCGUGGGGAGCAAACAGG
Molecule: ribosomal RNA, 253 nt
Filed under: uncultured bacterium
Lineage: Bacteria
Description: partial 16S ribosomal RNA
Rfam family: Bacterial small subunit ribosomal RNA
Source: RNAcentral